This 497-nucleotide ribosomal RNA is filed under the name uncultured bacterium. RNAcentral's name for it is "partial 16S ribosomal RNA". It matches the Rfam family "Bacterial small subunit ribosomal RNA", at positions 28 to 507 of the family's 1533-position model. The record is from RNAcentral.
GAUGAACGCUGGCGGCGUGCCUAAUACAUGCAAGUCGAGCGAACGGACGAGAAGCUUGCUUCUCUGAUGUUAGCGGCGGACGGGUGAGUAACACGUGGAUAACCUACCUAUAAGACUGGGAUAACUUCGGGAAACCGGAGCUAAUACCGGAUAAUAUUUUGAACCGCAUGGUUCAAAAGUGAAAGACGGUCUUGCUGUCACUUAUAGAUGGAUCCGCGCUACAUUAGCUAGUUGGUAAGGUAACGGCUUACCAAGGCAACGAUGCAUAGCCGACCUGAGAGGGUGAUCGGCCACACUGGAACUGAGACACGGUCCAGACUCCUACGGGAGGCAGCAGUAGGGAAUCUUCCGCAAUGGGCGAAAGCCUGACGGAGCAACGCCGCGUGAGUGAUGAAGGUCUUCGGAUCGUAAAACUCUGUUAUUAGGGAAGAACAUAUGUGUGAGUAACUGUGCACAUCUUGACGGUACCUAAUCAGAAAGCCACGGCUAACUACGUG